UAAGGAACUGCUCAGGAGAGCAUCCUGGUUCAUUGAUGAGGGAAAGAAGAUUACAAAAGGGGAGCAGUCACUGCUCAGAAUUACAAUUUUCUACAGUUCAAAGGGUGAUGAGAAUGAAUUUGAAGUGCGUCAGCAUCUAGAGAAGAAUCAAUUUUCAAUGAUCCAACUACGUCUAAUAGCGAAUAAGAGUCACUUAUGAGCGACUAAAAGUCGUCAUCAAACAAAGUUGGCCAAAAGCACAGGGGUGGAUGACAACGAAGUCCUUCAAAUCAAUGUAGAAAUAAAGUUAGAGAAUAGAAAAAUUUAGAGAAAGUGGAUGUAGAAAUAAAGUUAAGAGAAUAGAAAAUUUUAGAGAGUGGGAAUAAGGGAUGAACAAGGAAAUGGAGUCUUUAGUAUUGAAAACCAAGAAAUGAUUGGACUUAGUGACCACAAGGAACUUGUCAUUGACCUUUACUUACAAGUGAAAGGUAUUAGGUUUGAAUUUCGUAGAUGACAAAUUUGAUAUCACAUUAGGUUGUUAUUUAUGUGGCUUAACCGAGCAUUCUCUUCCCUUAGUGUAAAAUAUACCGUUGUCCAAAAAAAACAAAUACGAAAAAUCAAACAGAGGAUAGGGGUUUUGUGGGUGUGGCAGUGGGUCUUCGCUAGGGUUUUUCUUCGCAGACCCUAACAGAGAGAAAAAUCAUGUUGAAAGAAACUUUUCCAUUCAGAUUUUUCUUUUUUUCUUAAGAUAAUUAAAAUCAUUUUACUAUAUUAUUCUUUGUUUGUCCAAAUAUAAUUAGUUUUUCUAAAUUCAACAGAUUUUCAAAAUUUUUGUGACCAUAAUUAUAAUAUUUAAAUAUGGGUUAUUGGCCCAAAAAAAUAAUUCGGUUGACCAAAGUUUUUUAUGUUUUUAUUAUUGGCCAGUCUUGCUGUUUUAAGAACAACAUUAAGAAUAACUGAGGAUCUCAUUAUCAUGACCGUUCAUUGUACAUCGUGCAGUUAGAAAUCAUUUUAAAAUUAAAUAUAAAUAGUAUCUAACGAAAACUAAUCGCACGAUGUAUGAUGAACGAUUACGAUCACAGAAUCUCUAGGAUCCCUAGGAAAAAGAAUAUUGUUUUCCAAAAUCAAAUAUGUUCUGUGACUAAAUGAAAUGCAAAUUACUAUAUAGUAAUGCUGAAGUGAAAAAACACUGUUCAUUAACAGUGUUUUCAUGAAAACGCCCUUCGUUUUUUCUGUUUUUCUAUGCUUUUUCUAAUGUUGAACAGUAUGUUCAUAAAAUUGCCCUUAGUCACCUCUUGGCUGAGUGCUCACACGUGUUAAGGGGGGACAGGUGGAAUCUUUAUCAGCGUAGAAAUCGCAAUUCUCUUCGAUUUCUUUAUUUUACUUGCGAACUAACAAAUGUGCUUUCGUUUCAUUUUUAGAAUGAAAAUUUGAAUUUUGUGCGUGUUGAACAUUGCAGCUCGUAUACGUGGUCCAAAUGUAAGUUAUUUUGUUCCUCCCCUUUUCACGUCUUAUCAGUAACCUUAAAAUUCUCUGGGUUCACUGUGUUCUUCGUGGUUGAUACUUUUCAACUCUCUUUCCAUCUUUUCUUUUCCUUCCCAUCACGCCUUCUCUUUUUCUCCAUAGUGCUUGAAUUUUGUUAGAACCGGAUUUCAGUUUAGAUUCUAUAACCCUAUGUUAGUAAGUUUAGAUUCUAUAACUCCGCCUAUGUCUUACAUGGCCGGUCCCAAGCCCGGGUAAAGGAGGAGGGGGAGGGCGUCAGGUAGUCGACAGCCGGCACUCCAUGAUCACGUCGAAUCCUUAUGAAAAUGAAUCCAGAACAAAAUCGCGCUAAAGCUAGGGCGUCACCCGUAAGUGGCGCGCUGUGUGACCCAAGCACAGUGAUAAGUGAGCAAGGGUCGCUGUAUCUCCAUCGGCACCCGGAUGCAGUGUUAAAUGAGCAAGGGGGCCAUAGAAACUUCUUUUCGAACGACUCCACUCAAAGUUGUUUGGGAGCAUAUGCUCCUAUCAACUUUACCCGGGACACACAAAAGAAGUACUUUGAUCCUAUUAGACGGGGGAGGGUGAAGAAGCUAGGACAGAAGGGUAGAGUUCAAGAGAGCAAAAUGCGUUUAGGAACGUGGAAUAUAGGAACCUUAACGGGAAAAUCUAUGGAAGUAGUGGAAGUUAUGGUGAGGAGAAGGAUAAAUAUUAUGUGCCUACAAGAAACUAAGUGGGUUGGUAGUAAGGCAAAGGAUCUAGAAAACUCAGGGUUUAAACUUUGGUAUUCGGGCACACAUAGAACGAGAAACGGUGUUGGCAUCAUCGUGGACAAGACCUUGGUACAAGAUGUUGUAGAUGUCAAGAGGGUAGGAGAUAGAAUCAUGGCAAUCAAGAUUGUAAUAGGACAAGAACUUAUCAAUGUGAUUAGUGCGUACGCACCUCAAGUAGGGUUGGAUACGAGUUCGAAGGAGAAAUUUUGGGAAGAUCUUGGAGACUUGGUGCAAGGAAUUGCUCAGACGGAGAAGUUAUUUAUAGGAGGAGAUUUAAAUGGACACGUGGGCAGGGAGACAGGCAACUAUGGAGGUUUUCAUGGUGGCCAUGGUUUUGGGGAGAGAAACGAGGAUGGGGAAGCUAUCUUGGAUUUUGCAAUGGCAUAUGAUCUCUUCUUAGCCAACACCUUCUUUAAGAAGAGAGAAGAACAUGUGAUCACCUACAAGAGUGGGUCGUCAAAAACACAAAUAGAUUUUCUUCUAAUGAGGAAAGGGGAUCGUAUAACCUGUAAGGAUUGCAAAGUUAUACCAGGAGAGAGCGUGGCUAAUCAACAUCGCUUGUUGGUGAUGGAUGUACAUAUCAAAAGAGUAAGACAAAAAGAACAAGACUUGGAAGUGCCCAAGGACUAGAUGGUGGAAUCUAAAAGAAGAAAAACAAGCCAUUUUCAAAGAGAAGGUAAUCACCCAAUGUGUGUGGGAUAGAGAGGGGGAAGCUAGCCAAAUGUGGGAUUCCAUGGCUAGUUGUAUCCGAAAAGUAGCAAAAGAGGUAUUAGGAGAGUCCAAGGGCUUUGCCCCACACCAAAAGGAAUCUUGGUGGUGGAAUGAGGAGGUACAAACAAAGGUGACGGCUAAGAAGGAAUGUUGUAAAGCCUUAUACAAGGAGAGGACCGAUGAAAAUGGUGAAAGGUAUAGAAAAGCGAAGCAAGAGGCGAAGAAAGCUGUCAGAGAAGCUAAGUUAGCGGCUUACAACGAUAUAUAUAAACGACUAGAUACCAAAGAAGGAGAGUUGGAUAUCUAUAAACUAUCUAGAGCAAGGGAAAAGAAGACAAGGGACCUAAACCAAGUGAGGUGCAUCAAGGAUGAGGAUGGAAAGGUUCUUGCUACAGAGAACGCGGUUAAAGACAGAUGGAGAGGUUAUUUUCAUAAUCUCUUCAAUGCAGGACAUGAAAUGAGUGCUUCUUUAGGGGAGUUGAGUAACUCAGAAGAGUGUAGAAACUACUCUUUUUAUCGUCGAAUCCGGAAGGAAGAAGUGGUUGUAGCUUUGAAGAAGAUGAAGCAUAAAAAAGCAAUAGGCCCAGACGAUAUACCAAUCGAAGUGUGGAAACUUUUUGGGAGAGACAGGUAUAACAUGGCUCACUGACCUUUUCAAUAGGAUUUUGAAAACGAAGAAGAUGCCAAAUGAGUGGCGAACGAGCACUUUGGUGCCUAUCUACAAGAAUAAGGGCGACGUACAAAAUUGCAUGAACUAUAGGGGUAUUAAGCUAAUGAGUCAUACAAUGAAGCUCUGGGAGAGAGUCAUUGAGCAUAGAUUGAGGCAAGAGACACGGGUUUCGGACAACCAAUUCGGGUUCAUGCCAGGGCGCUCAACCAUGGAGGCAAUCUAUCUCUUACGAAGAUUGAUGGAAAGAUAUAGAGAUGGGAAAAAGGAUUUACACAUGGUCUUUAUAGAUUUGGAAAAAGCGUAUGAUAGGGUCCCAAGAGACAUUCUUUGGAGGAUUUUAGAGAAGAAAAGAGUACGAGUAGCAUAUAUCCAAGCUAUAAAGGAUAUGUAUGAAGGAGCAAAGACUGCCGUAAGAACUCAUGAAGGACAAACCGAAAGCUUUCCCAUAACUGUAGGAUUACAUCAAGGCUCAUCCUUAAGUCCUUACCUUUUUGCGUUGGUAAUGGAUGAGUUAACAGGACAUAUUCAAGAUGAUAUUCCUUGGUGUAUGCUAUUCGCAGACGAUAUAGUGUUGAUAGAUGAAACUCAGGAAGGGGUAAAUGCAAAGCUUAACCUUUGGAGAGAAGUGUUGGAAUCUAAAGGUCUUCGCCUAAGCCGAUCAAAGACAGAAUAUAUAUGGAGUGCAAGUUCAGUGCAAAUGGAGGCCAAAACGAGUUAGGGGUGAGGAUCGGAGAUCAAGAAAUACCAAAGAGCGACCGUUUUCGUUACCUAGGAUCUAUCUUGCAAAAAACGGAGAAUUAGAUGGAGAUCUCAACCAUAGAAUACAAGCUGGAUGGAUGAAGUGGAAGAGUGCAUCCGGCAUGUUAUGUGACCGCCGUAUGCCACUGAAGCUCAAGGGAAAAUUUUAUAGGACGGCAAUAAGGCCGGCGAUGCUGUAUGGCACAGAAUGUUGGGCGGUGAAACAUCAACACGUACACAAAAUGGGUGUAGUGGAGAUGAGGAUGCUUCGUUGGAUGUGUGGGCACACGAGAAAGGAUAAGAUUAGGAAUGAGGAUAUCCGGGGUAAAGUAGGAGUAGCCGAAAUUGAAGGAAAGAUGAGAGAAAAUCGGUUACGGUGGUUUGGACAUGUGCAAAGAAGGCCUACUGACGCUCCGAUUAGAAGAUGCGACUAUGGGACAGAGGUUCAGAGCCGAAGGGGUAGAGGAAGACCUAGGAAAACUUUGGAAGAGACUCUAAGAAAAGACUUAGAGUACUUGGAUCUAACGAAGGACAUGACACAGGAUCGAGCACAAUGGCGUUCUAAGAUUCAUAUAGCCGAUCCCACUCAGUGACUUGGAUUUUCCAAGUCUCCAACCGAGAAGUUUUCCUCACUCGGGAAAUUAAGGGAACACUACCCCAACCUACAUGCUCCACUCAGAAAGCUUCAACAUACAAGCUUCAACAAAAGAAAAUUCAAAGAACUUAGCGAAGAAGGCUUUGGUGUAUUUAACACAAUACGUUGAAAUGAAGGAAAGCUUAUUUAUUGAUAUCCCCGAUAAGCUACAAAUAUGUACAUAUACAUGAGUCAAAAUAAACACACAAGAGGGAGCCUUCACAAAGGUUGCUUAGGAGAAGUCUCAGUAGUCGGUAGAGCCCCAGAAAGAGAAGGCACCGGAGGGGGAUCAUUUGGAGCCUCAGUACUGGACAGAACCCUAGAAGGAGGAGGCAUCAGAGGUUGAUCAUUUGGAGCUUCAUUACGCGGUACAGCCCCCAGAAGACGAAGGCAAUAAAUGCCUUUGGAACAAACCCACAAAUCUCUGAUGAUCAAGUAAAACCUGACCAUCAGUUUCCUUCAUCUGGUCAAGCUUCCUCUUCAUGUUUGUAGCAUAGUCAUGUGCGAGCCGGUGCAACUGUUUAUUCUCAUGCUUGAGCCCUCUAAUCUCCUGUUUGAGACUCAUCACUUCAGCCGCCAAUGAUUCAACUUGGCGGGUUCGAGCAAAUAGGCGUUGGGCCAUAUUAGACACAGAACCUGCACACUGAACACUGAGAGCCAGCGAAUCCUUAACAGCUAACUCAUCAGACCGUUUGGAAAGUAGUCUGUUAUCUUUGGGAGUGAGAAGGUUCCUGGCCACCACCGCAGCGGUCAUAUCAUUCUUCAUCACGGAAUCCCCAACGGUAAGAGGACCAGUAAGGGAGACGAAGGAUGGGCGCCAUAUGUUGUCUGGAGAAGGCGGGGCUGCCUCUUCAACAAGGUUCAAGUCAAAACGACGGUCGGAGGGGCCAGACAUUUUCAAAGGUGUUGAAGAGAGAAGAGGUCGGACAAAUCAAGAUCUUAGAAGUGCAAGAAUGAAGCUUCUACUGGUGGAGAUUCAAGUGUGCUUUGGAACUUAAUGCCAGCCCCUAUAAAAAAUCUGCACUCGACGGAGCUUCAGAAAUCGAAGAGGCGCCUGCUCAGAAAUCGAAGAGGCGUUUGCUUUCUCAAAAGCUGGGCUGCUUAGAGAUCACGAGGGUUGAUCUCAGAAAUCGAAAAGGCGUUUGCUUUCUCAAAAGUUGGGCUGCUCAAAGACCUCGAAGGCUGAUCUCAGAAAUCGAAGAGGCGCUCGCUUUCUCAAAAGCUGGGCUCCCCAGAGACCACGAGGGCCGAUCUCAGAAAUCGAAGAGGCACCUACUUUUCCAGCCUUGUCAGCACCUGUCACACGCACACUCAGCUUUGCGGAAAUUAUGGGCAGUCUGUCGAAGACUUCUGGGGAAGUAGAAAACACAUGAAUCUUACUGUUCAAUCACCCACUUCCCACACGCAACAAUAGCUCAUGGGUACCACAGAUAACUUUGCCAAAGUUCUCUGCCAAAGUUGAGCACGUGAAGCUUGCAGCUCCCACUACAUCGCUCUGACCAAGAAGGGUAAAAGAAUAGCAAAGAAACAGCACUAACAAAGUUUAUACCCAUAAAUUUUGAAGGUCUAGCUACCAUAUUAUUACCCACAAGGGUAAAGGAAUAGUACCACUGCUGGAUAAUUGGAAAGUCCCUGUGUGUCAACCUCUGUGCUUCGUGGCAAGGUAGACUAGCAAACAUGCCCAACCUUUACUCACAUUCGAGAAAACACUCCCAAUAAGAUUGCUUGCUCCAAAAUCGAAGAGGCACCGUCCUCCGAAUCUCGAGAGCCAGACUCCCAACAUGACUACUUUCUUAAAAAUCGAAGAGAGGGUAAAGGAACAGUACCAUUGCUGGAUAAUUGGAAAGUCCCUGUUGCUUCGUGGCAAGGUAGACUAGCAAACAUGCCCAACCUUUACUCACAUUCGAGAAAAUACUCCUAACAAGAUUGCUUGCUCCAAAAUCGAAGAGGCACCGCCCUCCGAAUCUCGAGAGCCAGACUCCCAACAUGAUUACUUUCUCAAAAAUCGAAGAGACACUGCUCCCCGAAUCUUCGAGAGCCAGACCCCCAGCAUGAUUGCUUUCUCAAAAAUCGAUGAGGCAUCGUUCUCCGAAUCAAUCGAAGAGGCGCUCGCUUUCUCAAAAGCUGGGCUGCUUAGAGACCACGAGGGCCGAUCUCAGAAAUCGAAGAGGCACCUACUUUUCUAGCCUUGUCAGCACCUGUUACACGCACACUCAGCUUUGCAGAAAUUAUGGGCAUUCUGUCGAAGACUUCUGGUGAAGUAGAAAGCACAUGAAUCUUACUGUUCAAUCACCCACUUCCCACACGCAACAAUAGCUCAUGGGUACCACAGAUAAAUUUUGCCAAAGUUCUCUGCCAAAGUUGAGCACGUGAAGCUUGCAACUCCCACUACAUCGCUCUGACCAAGAAAGGUAAAAGAAUAGCAAAGAAACAGCACUAACAAAGUUUAGACACAUAAAAUUUUGAAGGUCUAGCUACCAUAUUAUUACCCACAAGGGUAAAGGAACAGUACCACUGCUGGAUAAUUGGAAAGUCCCUGUUUGUCAACCUAUGUGCUUCGUGGCAAGGUAGACUAGCAAACAUGCCCAACCUUUACUCACAUUCGAGAAAACACUCCCAACAAGAUUGCUUGCUCCAAAAUCGAAGAGACACCGUCCUCCGAAUCUCGAGAGCCAGACUCCCAACAUGACUACUUUCUCAAAAUCGAAGAGAGGGUAAAGGAACAGUACCAUUGCUGGAUAAUUGGAAAGUCCCUGUGUGUCAACCUUUGUGCUUCGUGGCAAGGUAGACUAGCAAACAUGCCCAACCUUUACUCACAUUCGAGACAACACUCCCAUCAGAUUGCUUGCUCCAAAAUCGAAGAGGCACCGCCCUCCGAAUCUCGAGAGCCAAACUCCCAACAUGAUUACUUUCUCAAAAAUCGAAGAGACACUGCUCUCCGAAUCUCGAGAGCCAGACCCCCAGCAUGAUUGCUUUCUCAAAAAUCGAAGAGGCAUCGUUCUCCGAAUCUCGAGAGCCAGAUACCACAGACCACUUUUUCAAAGUGCUCUGACAGAGUUAAAACAUGUGAAACUGGCAGCUCCCACUACCGUGCUAUGACCAAGCAGGGUAAAGGAAUAACAUUACUACUUCUUAGGGAGACUCCUAUAUAUGUCGACCUCCAUCCCCAACAGACAGGCAGACCUGCAAAAAUGCUCAACCCUUCAUCAUAUCUGAGAGGGCACUCCCAACGAAGCCUUUCGAAAUAUUCAGCUUUCCUUCCCCCCGAUAAUACCUCUGCAAACAAGCUAUACUAGAGCAAGAAUAUCUCAUAUCAUCAGGGUUAAAAGCAAGAGUAUCCCAUAUCAUGCUUUUUCCCUGUCUUUUCCUUUGGCCUUGUUUUUACCUGCAAGACAAGGAGAAAGAGAGCAAUCAGUCAGCACUUGGAAUCAAGCUUCCAGCCAGGAACUGACUGCCUGGAACCCCUUACCUGAUUACUUACCUGGCAUUGCUCUCGAGUACUCAUCUUCAACAUCUUAUAUUUCCAGGGAAGAUUCCGCAUCUGCUUGAGGAACAGAUAGGGCAAGUGCGAAGGAUACAAGGAAGCAUGUGGAGACAAGCGUACCAGCACACGUGCCGAUACAUCCAUUACGCUGUCAAAAGCAAAAGUAUCCCAUAUCAGCAGGGUGGAACGUACUCUAGAUUUGAUGGACUUGUUUUGACCCUCAAAUUCUUCAGUCGGCCUUAUACUCUGGAGGAAACCAGAAAACCCUCCAGCUCAGUUCAAGAAUAAGCCUGUGGAAAGUUACUUCUUCAAAAGCAAAAGUAUCUCAUAUCAUCUCUUCUCAUUUUUCUUCUCUUUAUCCUUCAUGCUGCUGCAAGAUGGGGAGAAGGUGAACAAUCAGUUAGAGCUCUGAUUGCUUACCUUGUCUGUCACCUCUUUCAGCAGACCCCCUAGCUCGGCGACUUGGGGGACUCCUACUACAUGGUUUGUAUCGCGCUUGACCAAGCCUGAAACUACAAGUAAGCUUCAAGUGAAAUUGAUACAUUACCUUGUGCAUCUCCACCAGUUAAAGAUACCACCCCUGGAUGGAGGAAGAGUACUUCCAGAGAAGAUGCCACAUCUACCUAUGAGACAGAUAAGGCAAGUCAAGACGACACCACACUCCGAUACUUAGAAGUUUCGUGAUUACGAGAUCAUUCUCCCACAAUAUUUCCUAAUGUCAUUUGUACUAAAUCAUUCACUUGUACUCACUAAAGGAGAGCUUGAACCUAUGUACUUGUGUAAACCCUUCACAAUUAAUGAGAACUCUUCUAUUCCGUGGACGUAGCCAAUCUGGGUGAACCACGUACAUCUUGUGUUUGCUUUCCUGUCUCUAUCCAUUUAUAUAUUUAUCCAUGCUAAUGACCGGAGCAAUCUAGCGAAGAUCACAAAAAGCGACCGUUUUCACUACCUAGGAUCUAUCUAGCAAGAGAACGGAGAAUUAGAUGGAGAUCUCAACCUCGUAGGCCACUGAAGCUCAAGGGAAAAUUUUAUAGGACGGCAAUAAGGCCAGCGAUGUUGUAUGACACAGAAUGUUGGGCGGUGAAGCAUCAACACGUACACAAAAUGGGUGUAGCGGAGAUGAGGAUGCUUCGUGGGAUGUGUGGGCACACGAGAAAGGAUAAGAUUGGGAAUGAGGAUAUCCGAGGUAAAGUAGGAGUAGCCGAAAUUGUAGGAAAGAUGAGAGAAAAUCGGCUCCGGUGAUUUGGACAUGUGCAAAGAAGGCCGAAUGACGCUCCGGUUCGAAGAUGUGACUACGGGACAGAGGUUCAGGGCCGAAGGGGUAGAGGAAGACCUAGGAAAACUUUGGAAGAGACUCUAAGAAAAGACAGUACUUGGAUCUAACGGAGGACAUGACACAAAACCGAGCGCAAUGGCGUUCUAGGAUUCAUAUAGCCGACCCCACUUAGUGGGAAAAGGCUUUGUUGUUGUUGUUGUUGUUGUUGUGCAGUGAAAGUGACUAAAAAUCAUUGUUCUAAAAAUCGGCGGCACUAGACGACUGGUCAUUACUCUAAUCAAUUUUUAGACGUUUGAAAAUUAAGAAAUGACGUUUAAACCUGUUUAGGCAUCUGUCCUGCCUAACCAACGUCGACCUAGCCUGCCUCGGUUGCAACUCUCACUUAUACAAAAAAUCGAUAACUUUCAUUUUGCAUUUUAUUUUUUCAAUAAAAUGUAAUAGACUUGUUGAAAACUCUAACGAACAUUCAUUAUAUAUUUAUUCCCAUGUUCUCAAUAUGUUUUAAGGAAAACUAACGAAAAAUCUAAAAAAACUUUAGUUUUAAUGAAAAAUAACAAAUAAAGGUGUAGUGAAUAGUACCACAGAAAGGUAAAAAUGUGGUUUUUCAUUAAAAGUGAAUAAUACCGAGAGUGUUUUGUUAAAACUCCCUAUGUUUUAAUACCAUAUAAUUUAUAGUUCAUUUUAUUUUUCAAUUUAUGUCUCCCAGUAAAAUUAGGUAUUUUUUUAUUUUUUUUGGCUAAAUAGCCAAAAUGGUCCCUGAGAUUUGCAUAAAUCAUCACUUUGGUCCCUAACAUUUCAAAUCAAUAAAAGUGGUCCUUGAGAUUGCCCAUCAUCCAUCAUUUUGGUCAUUCUCUUAAAAACUCCGUUAAGUGUCCCGGAACUCUUGACUGGAAGUUUGAGCAAUUUUCAAAGCUUCGUAACUCAAUCGUUUCUUAACUAAAUUUGACCCAUAAUAUAUCAAAAUGAAGAUAGGAAAGUGUAGAAUAAGAUUAUACCUAUUUGGAAGCCCAAUGGUUGCCAGAGAUGGCCGAAAAAUAUUCUCAAAGUUGACUGGUUUUAGGGAAAACUGGAAAACUCGUUGGAAACUGGGUAAAUUUUAAACGUUCAUAACUUCUUCAAUACUCAACAAAAUCAAGUGAUUCAAAAACUAAAAUCAUACUUCUCGACAAGAAGAAGAGAAUGGUACCUUUUUUGACUGCUAACUCGCCAUGGUUUGGCCGUAAAAUGGCUCGAAAGUGGAUGUCUUGGUCUAUAAGACAGCCACUUUCGAGCCGUUUUCCGGACAAACCAUGGUGAUUUAGCCAUCUAAAAAGGUACCAUUCUCUUCAUGUCAUUGAGAAUUAUGAUUUUAGUUUUUGAAUCACUUGAUUUAAAGUUUACCCAGUUUCUAGCGAGUUUUCCAGGUUUCCCUAGGACCAGUCAACUUUGAGGCUAUUUUUCGGCCAUGUCUGGCAACAAUUGGGCUUGAAAAUAGAUAUAAUCUUAUUCUACACUUUCCUAUCUUCAUUUUGAUUUAUUAUGGGUCGAAUUUGGUUAAGAAACGAUUGAGUUACGAAACUUUGAAAAUUGCCCAAACUUCCGGCCAAGAGCUCCAGGACAUUUAACGAAGUUUUUAAAGGAAGGACCAAAAUGAUGGAUGGUGGACAAUCUCAGGGACCACAUUUGUUGAUUUGAAAUGUUAGGGACCACAGUAAUGAGUUAUGCAAAUCUUAGGGACCAUUUUGGCUAUUUAGCCUUUUUUUUAAAAUCCACCUAAUCUACUCAGGCCCCCACCUAGGUCCCGCUCAACCGCCUAGGCGCUAGGCCCUAGCCUGCCGGCCGACUAGCACCUUGCGUCUUUUAGAAUCUUGCUAAAAAUUAUAAAGAAUUAGUAUAAGUUUACACAACGAAAGGAACAUAACAAAAAUGAAAGUAAAGAAAAUUUAGGAUGUAAUAAAUAAUAUCUUUUUGUGUGUGUGUGUGUGUAAUGUAUAGAUUAUAAGUAUACAUGUAUAACAACUAUGCGGUGAAUGAGAAUACGAACAUGGACAAAGGCGAAGUUUUAAAAGGCUGUGCAAUAUAAUGGAAUGACAUUGACUGGGUGUGGAUUUAUGAAGUCCUAAACGGAUGCUCUGUAGCUUUGGUUGUAGAAUCAUAAUAGCUUUGGUUGCAAAACCUGGAAUUGAUGUGAUUGUAGAAAGAUCUAAAUAUAUAUAAGGUGUGUUUUUUUUUUUAGAAAAAAAAAUGUUUGAUGAUGAAAGACUGUUUUCGUGAUAUGAGAAUAUACAUUUUUUUCAUUUCAUAUAUUUCGUUCACCGAGAUGACAUGAUUUGAUAGUAUGUUAUGUGUUUUUUUUUUUUUUUUUAAAGAUUUUGUUGCGAAUAUUUUACAGUAUAUGUUUUGAAUAAUUUUCAGGAAAGUAAACCUUAGAUUUGAAUGGUCUGUCGUUGCAGAAUUCCUCUUUAAAUCGUCUGUCGUUGAGACACUUUCAUUGCAAGGGCAACUGAGAAGCUUUCGGAGGCUGCUGCAGCUUACAUUGAGGUUCCUUCAUUGUGUUGUAUUUGGAUUUUGUUAUUUUAGAAAUAUCUUUUCAGGAAAAAAGAAAUUUGUUGUUUGUGCAUUUUUUUUUUCUGAACACGUUUUCGUCAUGUUUUCCUGGAAUGAGAAGGCACAGAAAAUUAAGGCAGGGAAGCAACAGCAGGUACAAAUGGAGCAGCUACAGCUAUUGGGGCAGCGCGGUAAAUUCUCAUAUCUGUUUCAUCAUGUCUUCCUCUCUUCAUUACAUUCCGAAUCUUCAAAAUCCUUACCGAUUCGUGUAAGUUCUAAUAUAUUUUUCUAUGUUUUUUUGAUUUUGGUUUCCAGGGUUACAAUCUCAAUCAACAAGAUGCAAAACGAGGAGGGAAUCAUCACCCAGCUCUAGAUCCCGAGAAAAUGGUAUUCAAUCGAAUCUAAUAUUGUGUUAUUAGGCAGCAACAUGUCUACAGGUUACAUCUCUAUUAUGUUAAAAUGAUUUUGUCUAUUGUUUUACAUUCAAUUAUUUACUGAAGUUUUUCUGUACUGAAUAUCAUCAUUGAUUUUAAACGAUUGUUAUUCCAUAGAAGCUUACUUUUCUUUGAUAUCAAGAUUUUCUGAUAAAAUGGUAAAAAGUUGACUUGCAUUUGACAAACAAUUGUCAUCAUUAUAGCAGUACAACGCUCAUCGACAUGAUCGUCCCAAUACAUUAUUUUUUUUGUUUUGUGCUUUGGCAAUUUGACUCAUCUUAUCUUGCCAAAAGAUGCAUGUGAGUUUUAAGGAUUCAGGGAUCCUCUUCUCUCCAGAUUACUGGAUCGGGCCUUACCUCCAUGUGUUGUUGAGUCUAUUGAAAGUUGGUAUGCAUGAGAAGUUUAAGUAAUACUUGCCAUAAAAAGUAGAAGUGAUGACUGACAAGGAAUUGAUUAUCUCAUCAGCAACUUCAUUUUUAUCUAAGAACGAAUUUGAUACAUGUAGAUGUAUAUAGGUUAAAUUGAUUGUUAAGAUGACAAUUUAAUCACUUUUCAAUAUCUUAUAUCUCCAUCUCCCAGUUCUGAUUUUUACUUACUUGAAAUAAAUAGAUUCUAGGAAUCUCAUUUAGCAAAAUAAGCAAUGGAUAGUGCAAACGGUUUUUUCUUACAUUCACAACAAUAUAGGCACUUCUAUUUUUUUAGCAAUAUAGUGCUUAGCUUAAAGUCAGAAUGUUAACCAAAUGUAUUCAAUUUGUUCGACUAACCAUUGUUCUAUUAAUAGUUCAUUUAAUCUAAGGUCAAAUGGGUAGAUCUUGCUCCAUAUACUGAGUUAGUAUAGGUUACCUAGAAGAGUGCCGCUAUGAAUGGUUGCUCUCGUGCGAUCGACUUUCAUACAUUAAUGCAUGGUGAAAUUGGCUUAAGGACUUACAAGUCAUUUGCUGUCAUGCACCGAUCUAGACAUACGGUCUACUGUAGGAGGUGCAAGGAAAAUAAUUGAAAUACUGAGACUAAAAUUAACAACAUUUGCAAUAACUCAGGUUCCAACAAGAAAGUUCAAAGGAAAUACAAGAUAAGAAAUAGGGAGCACUCCAAACUUUGAACUCUGACUCCUAACCCAAGAACUCCUCGCAUCAACUAAGCUUUGUCACCUGCACAAUUGCCCCUACACCAUGGGAAUGGUGCACCGGGUAAAGUAAAAACUCAAAUAAGUUGAGAAGUUCGUGUGAGGGACAAUAAUCCGACUUAUUUGGUAAUCAUAAAAUAUUUUUAUCGACCACAACUUAUACACAUCAAUCAUAAAAGCAUACUUUAUAAAUCAUAAUCAAAUCACUGAAAAUUCUGAAGAAGUCACGCAAACAUUCAUUGGCCUUUCUAAAUCAAAGGUCCUCGAAUUUCUGAUUCAUAAAUACAAUGAAAACUAUUGCUAGAGCGACACAGUUCUGCUGAAGACUACAUCUCCUAAUUUUUCACGUUCUAGAAUCAUUUCAAAAACCAACGAAGCCAAGAGAAGCGAUUUUGGGCUACUCAACGAAAUCCAAAGUACAUUGGGUUCUAGAUCAAUCAACGGAACCAAACGGAUACAAUUCCGAGCCACUCAACAGAAUCGUGAAGUAGAAGGGAUUACUGAUCACUCAACGGAAUCCGAACAGGAUACGAUUCCGGACCACUCAGCAGAAUCGUGAAGUACAAGGGAUUCUAAACCACUCAACAGAAUCCAAACGAAAACAUAUGGAUGGAUCUCAAACCACUCAGCAGAAUCAAUACAGAGCAGGGAACUAGACCACUCAACGGAACUCUAGCUAAACCUGAUUCUGGACCACUCAACGGAACCGAGCAUAAUCCAAGGAAACAGUUUCAAACGGCUCAAUGAAAUAAGACAUGACACUUUCAAUGCAACGAUUCCCCAUGUCAAUGGGGUUAUCAGUCCUCUACUAACCCUCAAGUUCAUAAACAUUUCAAAUAUGCAGGUCAAAUCACAUUUCAUGAAAAUAUAGAUCGAUGGAAAACUAUGAAAGCAAUAAUAUUUAGUAGAAAAACACAUUUAUAAAUUCAUGUCAUAUCCACAAAAUAUACUAACAUGAGGAUUUCAUGGGUAAUCACCAUAUUACAUAUAUUAAAGUCACUCACUUGAAGUCCGCACUACGGCUUCCUAGCACGCCACUUGUUUGAUAAAAUAACUGUGACCACUAUCUUGAACCGUCGUGCUCAGUAUCAGACAUACCUGCGAUUUGGGUAUUGCCAUUUGAGUGCUUCAGUAUCCAAAAAGUAGCUAUGAAGUAUGUUGAGUAUUAUUUGCUUCGAACAUCCUUCAAUUGUUCCCUUAGUUGUUGUUUUUUGGUUGUUUAUCAUAGACACAGUUGUUUUUUAGUUGUUUUUUGGUUGUUUAUCAUAGACACAGUUGUCUAUCAUAGACACAGUGGCUAUUAAGUUGAUUGUAUUGAUAUUUUCAGGUGAUGUGGAGAUGCGCUGGGUUGAUGCAUAUUUCCCAUUUACCGACCCAUCAUUUGAACUUGAGAUGUUUUUCAAUGUAUGCUACUGAGUUCGAUCACUUUGAGGGGAAAAAAAGCAUUUCAAGUCUCUCCUGUUAUGUCAUUCUGUUAGAGGUUCUUUCUUUUUCAUGGACGGUACCUAAGAGUAAUCCAUUAUGCAGAAGAAUGUAGUAUUUCCUUACUACGAACAAGUAAUAACUAACCAGAAUGGUACACACUCAAGUAAGACAAGAUAAAAAUUAGUGUACGGAAUAUUGAUUGUUGGAUAGAGACUAUCAUGAAACAAGUUUACUGCCACCAUGAUGCCUGUGGUCACUCAAGGUCAUGUGCAAGACUCGUUACAUUGCCUUGUAUAAGUGGCUCGCAAGUCCAGGGUGACAAUGAACCGUUCCACCUAAGUUAAGGUUAAGCACAAAGACAACAUAUCUCAUAACUAUGACAUCCAAAAUGUAGGGUUCAAGAUGAAGUUGAAAUUCAUAACAACAAAAGAGGUUCUUAGGAUGAUGCCCUUUAUGAGGGUGAUCAAAAUAACAAGUGGAGGACAUGGGCAUCAUUAAAUUUGCAGGCCUUUUUUCAUCUGCCUUCAAUAUUCAGAUUCAUGUUUGGUAGUAUUCGUGGUGAAAUACUCAGCUUCAACAACUACAUCCAUCCGGCUACUUUCUUAUUUUUCGACUUGAACUGAUCCUUGGAAAUUGAUUGCUUUCCCUAAAACAAAGACAGAAAAACAGAGAAGAAUAACACGCGUAUAAGUUAUGCAGAUGACAGACCUGAUGGAGCAGAAAGAAACUCACAACCAACAGAAAACUUGCUCACCUGGUGAAAAGGUGCAAUCAGCAGUUUCUCUACCGCGGAAAAUGACUACAUCAAUUAAAUGUUCGGUAUUAUUGAUCAACAUGAAAACACACACAUCACCGAUUUCCAGACCAUUGUCUUGCACAAAUGUCAUCCAGCCACUCUGGAAUUUCAGUACAGUUUUGCUAUAUUGGUGUAAUUUGACAGGCCAAGUUCUUCCACCCGAAACACGAAGAAUCACAUUAUCAUGAGUCCUGUUUAGAAGAUGUUCCCGGGCAAACUUAGCUUCCAAAUUCUGAAAUAGAAAGAGAAGCAGGUAAGACUAAAUUUUUGGAGUAUUUAGAACGUAAUUUUCUUUAGCUUAAUAGUUUUCAUUUCAUACUAGCAGAAGUUGUACAUGAUCUGUCUCUCUAGAAAGCUUACCAAAGUAUUUGCCUGGAUAUACGAGGGACGCAUAACAACCAUGCAACAAGGGUAUUCAGAUUUGAAAGCCCUUGCUCUCUGAAGAGCUCUAUUUGUUCCGCUUUCUGUAAGUGGAUUCAUCAUCCUAGGAACCUGAUUAGGUCUUCGUUUUACUAAUUCUUUAGUACAAGACGAGCCACCAAACUUCUUCAUGUGGUUUUCUGAAGUGCUAAUGGAACCUGCUCUGUUUUUCUUGUGAGGCUGUGUUGCAAUUGGUGAUUUUUUCUUUGUUUUCAGGCAUGGUGGAGAAUCGUCCAAGAUUUCAACACAACCAUCAUCUUCAUCAGUUUCUUCAGUUUCGGACAUUGUUUUUUCACCAUCAACGUCUGCAAGCACCCGCAAAAGAUUAAGGUGACAGGUAGUUAAUCUCUACGGCAAUUCCAUCAACUAAUCAGUUCAGAAAUUAAUAGACAACUUACCUUGUGACAGGUUCCAACGUGCAGCUUCUGUAGUGCGGAAAAUAACAACAUCCAUUAAACCUUUGAUGUUGUUAAUCAACGCAAAUACACACACAUCACCAAUUUCCAAAUGAUUGUCUUGCACAAAUGUAAUCCAACCAUUCUGGAGUCGGACCAUGUUUUUCUGACGUUUGCUUAAUUUGACAGGCCAAGUUCUUCCAUCCGAAACACGAAGGAUUACUUGAUGAUAAUUCCACUUAAGAAAGUGUUCCUUGGUAAACUUGGCUCCCAAAUACUGAAAAGAAAGAGAAUCAGGUAAUUUGGAGAGGAUUUGCGUUGUAAUUUGUUUGAGCUUAAUUUUCAGUUUGAAAACUAACACACACAUAUAUGUAGACAUAAAAUUAGCAGAACUUGUACAUUAUGUCUCUCUAUAAAAAGCUUACCACAUAAUGUGCAUGGAUAUACGAGGGACUCAUAACAACUGUGCAAGAAGGGUAUUCAGAUUUGAAAGCCUUUGCUCUCUGAAGGGCUCUAUUUGUACCAUGUGCCGUAACUGGGUUCAUCUUCCUAAGAACUUGAAGAGUUCUUCGGUUCAUUAUUUUUUUAGUCAAAGACGAGCCACCAAAUUUCUUUAUGCGGUUUUCUGCUGUGCUAACUGAACAUGUUCUGUUUUUCUUGUGAGGCUGUGGUGCUAUUGGUGAUUUCUUCUUUGUUUUCGGGCAUGUUGGAAAAUCGUCCAAGAUUUCAAUGGAAUCAUCAUCUUCAUCAGUUUCUUCCAUUUGGGACAUUGUUUGUUCCCCGUCAACAUCUGCGAGCACAUCACAAAAGAUGAACGUGAUGGAUUGUUAAUCUCUAUGGCACUUCCAUCAAUUAAUCAGUUCAGAAAUUAAAAGACAACGUACCUGGUGGUGAGAAUGUAUGUGCAGUUUCUGUGGCGCGAAAAAUGACAACUUCAAACUCAAGUUUAGUGUCAUCUAUCAACACAAGUACACACACAUCACCAACUUCCAAAUUAUUGCCUCUUACAAAUUCAGUCCAGCCAUACUGCAGUCUGAGUUUUGGUCUGGUUGCCUUUUCACAUUUCAUUUCAACAGACCAAGUUCCCCCAUCCAAAACCCGAAGGGUAAUGGCACCAGGAUGCUUACCGAGACGUCUCAUGUGGAUACACAAUUUUGAAGGCAGCCACUGAAAAUAAUCAAAUGAAGGAAAAGACGAUAAGCAAACAAAUUUGACGGUCCAUGAUGGUUGUCUAUAGAGAACUUACCACAGAAUAUCCAUUGAUAUAAGUGCGCUUCAUGGGAACUAUGAAAGAAGGGUUGUCAGAUUUGAAAGCUGUAGCUCUCCGAAGAGCUACAGCAGCUUUUCCUCUUGCAUUCGACGCAUGCAUCCUCCCAAGAACUGUUUGAGCUCGUUUUGGAGUGCUGGACGUGCCUUCACCGUGUCUUUUGGAUGCAAACUCAGCUUUGCAUGUCAAAGAACACAGUAGGAUAUUAAAAGUUAGAACAGAAUGGCAGAAAGCACAAUAAGGUAAAAAAUCGGAAGCUAAACAUAUGUUGCGUAUUAAUGUUUCAAUUUUUAUUUCUGAUUUUUAUUGACUUCUUAAACAUCAUUUCGUAAUGUAAUCAGAGUAUUUUUUUGGUUUCUGGUUUUACCUGUUGAACUUGUUCUGUGCUUCUUACGAGGCUGAGGACAUGACAAUGGAUAUUUGUCCCUUGUUUUUCUUGAGCGGGACAUGAUGUUGUCCAAGACUUCAACACAAUCAGAGUCGUCAUCAUCAUCCCAAGAACUAUUGUCGGAAUCAUCAUCUUCAUCGGUUUCUUCCAUCUCGGGCAUUGUCAAUGGAUAGUUGAUCUCUGUGAAAUCCUUGUCAAAUACACUAACGCGGAAUGUUGAAUUCCCUUCAUAUCCGAAAACUAACGAAUGACAGCAGUCUAGAGAGCAAAACUUCGAGAACUUUGGCCAACCCUCGCCGAACCAGACCUCACCCUCCCAUAUUCUGAGUUCUAUUUUCCACUCUGAACCAGUUGGAAGCUUAAGAAAUACUGGAUUCGAAAGAUCAUCUCCAUAUUUCCUAAAAAAUUUGUUUGGAAUCCUCUGCACAACACAGAAACUUGUCACCAAACUGUUCGUAUAGUGAAAACAAUUAUCUGAUUUUUGUGGCUAUGAAAUAUAUGGGUACAUUAACUGCAUCAAAUCCUAUUAAGUCAGACUCUUCAUUGUGAGAGGGGUUAAAUAAUUGAGAGUUUUAACAAAACACUUCCGGUACUGUUCAUUUUUAACGAAAAACCACAUUUAUACAUUUCCUGUACUAUUCAUUAUACCUUUAAAAAUGACUUUUCUUUAAAAGGGAAGUUUUCUUAGAUUUUUCGUUAGUUUUCCUUAAAUACUUUGGUGCCGUUUGAUAACCAUUUCAUUUUCAGCUUUCAGAAAACCAAAAACUAACAACUUAAAAGCUAAAUUUUGAGAACUAAAAAGAGUAAGGAAUGUUUGAUAAUCAUUUCGUUUUUUGUUUCAAACUAAUCUCCAAAAUCAAGCACGGACAUUAAAGAGAGAGAGAGAGAGAGAGAGAGAGAGAGAGAGAGAGAGAGAGAGGGAGGGAGGGAGAGAGGUACUCACAAGUUUGGUCUGUGUACAAAUAGACUUCGGAAUAACUACUAGGAAAUGGGGAGCUUUAAGAUGUGUUUUUGAAGAGAAGUCAUGAAUUUUCCGGUGAAAAGAAGCCAUUUUUUUGAAGUUCGUCAAAAGCUUGAAGAUCUGCUUCAAAGCUUUAAAGUUGUCAGCAGAUCACUCAGCCGAGCUCCAGUUUAUGGACUAGCAAGAAGAAGGUAGACUGGCAAACUAAUUAAGUGCUUGAAGAAUUAAAUGCUCAGUCCACCAACUCAAUCGUUAUUAAUUCAGUUCACAACUUAAUGCUUGUUCUUGAAGUCAUUGUAGUGCAGUGGUACAUGAAUGCAUUAAUGUGUCUGUACAUGUAUACUCUGACUCUAACUACCAAAUCCAAAUCCCUCAUAUUAAUGAGAAAUAUUAAUUGGGAACAGGAUUACUUAGGCGUCCUAGUACAAUAAUGUCUUACCAUACCCAAAUCCCCCAUUAUUAAUGAGAAAUAUUAAUUGGGAACAUGAUUACCACUACCGGGCGUCCUAAUUCAAUAAUUUCAUACCGAGCUUAAGUUUUUUCUAAGUUAUAACAGUAAAAAAAGAUAACCACUAAUUGUUUCCAAUCAAAAUGCCAAAUCUUAUGUGGCAUGACAUGAAAUGGCAGCAAAGAGACUUGCUGUCAAACUUCAAUUUUUUUUUACUAAUUAUUAAAUGUCUUUUAUUAAUAUUUUAAUGUCAUUUAUUAUUUGAUUGUUGAACGGUAGAGUUGGUUUAAAACACUACCUAUUUCUUCUUUUUUAAUCAACAAAUUUGUUUCAAUUUAAGCAGUUGAUUGUUGAACGGUAGAGUUCAUCUAAAACACUACCUAUUUCUUCUUUUUUUAAUCAGCAAAUUUGUUUUAAUAUAAGCAACAUUGCUGCUUUGUAAAAUACAGUGAUUCGUUCUUCAAUAGGUAUCCUUCGUUAUUUUGUGAACAUGCCCCAAAUUUUUUCAGACUCAUCUUCUAAUUCAACAUAUGAGCAUUUUUGGAGUAUUGUUAAUUCUGAAUUUGAUGAAUAACUGGAAAGGCUGGAAUUGGUUGCUUUACAAAAUGAACAAGAGAACAUGGAGACAUGAAUGAGAAAACGGCGUGGCUCCAUAAAAGGCAAUGCAUAUAUCAAUAGAAAGUAGUGCAGAAUAUGAUAGGCUAGAGUGCCAAUAGUGGCAACCUUUUAGAAAGAGUGCGGCUAUACACACUUGCCUAUUGUAUUUUUUUCACGAUCUUAUAGUUACAAAAUUUGUAAGCAGUUUUAGGCCCCGUUUGGGAUUGAGGUGAUUUUAAAAAAAGCCACUGUGAAAAAAAGCUGAUGGUCAUUUUUGUGUUUGGUAAACUGAAAAAAAAGGGGCUUAUUUUGGAAGCUGCUGUGAGAAUAAGCUGAAAAUCAAAGGAAAAGCUGAAGCUGCUAUUUGCUGCUUUGAAAAAAAGCCAUUUUUUUCAAAGCACACGGAGCUACAGUGCUCCUUUAAUGAAAAGACACACUAUCAUCCUGCUUUUUUUUUCAAAAGCACUUUCACAAAAAAGUUUACCAAACACUUUACUGGCUUUAUUUCACAGCCGCUUAUUCUAACAGCACAGCCGCUUAUUCUCACAGCAGCUUUUUUUCAAAGCACAGCAAUACCAAACCAGCCCUUAGUGCCCUUGCACUUGCCUUGCCCUUGUCCUCCAAAAAAUCACUUCCAACAGUCCGUUUGGUGAAGGGCAAUUGGUGGGCCAACACAUGCCUGUCCAAAAGCCCGAGUAGCUUGAGCUCGGCCUUGUGCUAGUGGUCAAGGUUGACGUCAACAUGGUGUCAGCCACAUUUUUUUUUUUGUGUGUUUGACGCGUGAUGAGAGAUAGUGGGCUGAUUGUUGCUACUGUCAUGGCCCCCAAGCUAUCAAAGCAACUCAGCUCCCCAACAGCUAUACACGUGGCAUUUAUGAGCAGUUGGAUUUGAAACGGUCUCAAGAUUCAAUAACUAAAAUUAAUCUUGUUCAAAAUUUUAUUUAAUAAUUUAAAAUUUUGAAUAAAGGUUUUAAAAAAUUAUAGAAAUUAAUGAAAAUUCAUAAAUAAAUAUAUUUAAAAAUACAAAAAUAUUAUAUAUUUUUCUAAAGACACCCAACCAUCUUCUUCACUACCAUAUCAAAAAUCUAACGCUUUCGCUAGUUAUUAAAUAACUUAAUUAUGCUUUAAAAUUAAAAAAAAAUACAUUUGUAAGUAUGAAUCGUCCUUGUCCUUACUUUUAGCUCAACGGGUGGACUUACACAAAGGUAAUCACUUUUCAAAAGGCAAUUUACAUGCCCUUACCCUUGCUUAGCCCUUGCCCUCUUAAGAGCAAGUCCACUGUUUGCCCAAGUGACAAGGCAAUUGGGUUGAAUUGCCUUUGGCUGCAAAAGGUGGUCCACUGGUGUAAAAAAUGGAGGGCAUUUGGACCAAGGGCUUGUGCUUUUUUAACUACAGGAGACGAUAGAGUGGGGCCCACCCGCGUGCACAACCCAGAGUCAAAUGACUUAUUUUUCCUCCAACUUGUGCCGUUAGAUUUCCAACAGUAAAAAAAAGUUGCAAAACUUUAUGCAGCUACCAAGUGGCGCAAUUUGGGGCAUCCAAUAUAAAUAAUUUUGAUUUUGAACGGUUAAAGAUUAUUCUAAAGGUAAGCAAAUUCAAAAAAUAAACCCAAAAACUAAAACAAAAAAACAAAAAAAAAAUACCCAAAUUUUUUUUUCUAUAAGUACCCAACCAUUAUCUUCAUUUCUUGUAUUUGAAAUAUAUUAUAGAAAUCAAACAAUCAUUUUAUUUUCAAUGGUGGGCUAAAAGCCAAAUUACCCCCCAAAAUUUCCCCUCAAACCCACUCCAACCCAAGGGGAAAAUUUGGGCUAAAUGCUAAAUGUUAAAUGCUAAACCAAUGCCAGAUUCCUCCAGAAAUUUAGCCCAGAAAUUUGAAUUUAAAAUUUUCAAUAUUUAUUGGAAUUUAAAAUUUUUUAGAUUAAAAUGUUCAUAAAAUUAAUUUACGAUAGUCUACAUAUUUAUUUAUUUUUUUAAAAUUUAAUUUAACAAAAAAAAUAGUCUAAGUUCAUUUUUUAAUAAUCUUAGGCUAAAAUUUUAGGCUAAAAAGGUUGGAGCAAAAAAGCUGUUUCUGGAUUAAAAGCUAAAUUUUUCGGAUUAAAAUAUUUGACUUUUAGCCCAACAUGGUCUCAUAAAACAAAUUCAUCAAAGCAUAAAAAAAAGUAAUAAAAAAUAAAAAAUAAAAUUUUGAAUACUGCCUUGCCCUUUUUGCUUUUCACAGACGGAUUGAUUUCCAAAAGGACAAUUACUAUUUUUAAAAAAAUGAGGAAAAUGACGAAAGGCUCAAUGGCAUUUGAACUUCCACGUUGCACCUGACAUGCGAAGCCACGUAAACUUUGCCCCUCUGAAAACUUUGCCUGCCCAUAUUCACAAAGAAGCCAUUCUCACAUCCCCAGCCCACCCCAGCCCACAUCCCAGACUAGCCGAAAGGGCAUCUCGUGUAAUUCCCAUGAACUUAAAGGUCAAGGUAAUUUUAGCUUUCACUAAAUAGUCACCCGGAUACGAAGGCUAAACUAACAGUUUGUCAUUCAUGGCGCUUCUGUUUCCCGGCGGUGGUUGGUGCGUACGACUACGAGUAGGCCACUCGUCGCGGCCGGCGCACGUUAGACCGAGCUUUGUUACCUUUGCUACAGUGUCCCCAAGGACCCCAGCCAAAGGCGACAGAGUGGACUGGGUGGAAGCAACUUCAGGCUUCUUUGAAAAUGACACGAGGCCCAUCAUGUUGUUCGACGGUAAUAACGAUUCAUUUUAGCACUUACCGUACUCGUCAUGCUACUUUGCGCUUGGUGUAGAAACAGUACUUUAUGGCUUGUGUAUUUGUUUAAGAAUCCAUCUUGUUUGUGUUGUGCAAUAUGGGAUUAGCUAAUUGAGACUGGCUUUCUAGGUUACAUAUUUGAUAUGUGAUAGGUCAACUUUUUUCUUUUCUUGAUAAAGAUUUAUUGUAAGCCAUUCUAAUUUGCGGGGAGCGGAAUUCAAACUUGGGUGCAACAGAGUGGGGACACUACACAGACUAACUGGUCUAACCUACGUCACGUCUGUAUAAUAAGUCACGUUUAGAAUAAGUUGCAAAGGAAAAUACAAAUAUAUUUUUGUCCAUCUUGUAGUUUUACUCCAUGGAAGAUAGUGAAUGAGGCUAGAACAUCAUAAUAUGUUACGUAUUUCUGUAAUUCUUAAUAUGGUUAUGUUCUAAACUACUAUGUUUUAGAGUUUAGUUGGAUUCGUUGGUGCAGAACGUGAGCACCAGGCGAAUUCUGCAGUUGUGUUACAGAUACAAUGAAAACUCAUGAUCGUUGAUUUUUUUACAGGUGUUUGUAACUUGUGUAAUGGAGGUGUAAAGUUCGUGCGGGAUAAUGAUCGAAAUAGGUUCGAUUCUCCUCUUCCUUUGAUUGUUUGUAGACUCUAUUAUGAUCAUCGUUAAGGCAACAAGAUUAUAUUUAGUAGGGAAAACAAUGAUCUCUUUUCUUCAUAUAUAUAAUCCUUAAGUUUGAAGAGUGCAAAUUAUUUGGUAUCUUAUGAGGUUUAUCUUCAAUCUUCUACUCGUGUUGUUAUUGUUUAAUCCACUUCUGACAGGAGCAUAAGGUUUGAAGCUCUCCAGAGUGAAGCAGGGAAGAAACUGCUCAGAAGGUCCGGAAGAGCUCCUGAUGAUAUUUCAAGUGUUGUUCUUGUUGAAAAGGAUAGGUAUAUACAAUGACCUCAUUGCUAAUCUGGAGCGGUUUUUAACAAUUAUCAAGGUUUUGAUGAAUGAUAACAUUUUUCUCGUUUACAUGAACUUUUCUCAUAUUAAUGACGUUCUCGUUAGUGUUAUGGUCUCUCAGUUUGACAAUACUAACCGAUAAUUUAUACGAGUAACAUUGAUAACUGACAUGGUGAAUUUGAGAAUUUCAGAUCAUUUAUCAAGUCAGAAGCUGUUGUGAAGAUAAUGGAAUAUAUAGACUUGCCCUUCCCCCAGCUAGCGUUUUUUGCACAGUUUAUACCUCUGUAAGUCAUCCCCUCUUUGUUCUUUAUAAUUUUUGCCUGUCAAGAUUCAAACUGAUGGACGAUGCCAUGGUAAUACACUAUGUCCAUAAUUGAUAAUUUUUUUUUCUUCUUCCGGAUGAAUGCAGUUUUGUAAGGGAUUUUCUAUACGACAAUGUAGCAAACAACCGUUACACAAUCUUUGGUCGCUCAGACACGUGUGAGAUAUAGGCAUUUGAAUACUUAAGUUUCCUACUGAAGGUAUGUAUAUUGUAAAGUACGGAUAUGAUGAAUUUUGAUUUUGUAAUGUAAGUUUGACUUCCAUUUUAAUAGAAUGAAAAUUUAUCUAAUUUGUUUUAAAAGUUUCUUACUAUAUAGCUUCAUAUUAACACGACGUCUAGAAGUACAGUUUGCAUGUGAAUUGGAGGCUAAGCUGCCUUCCUUCAACAGUCCUUGGGUUGAUUAAUCAAAAUGUAGAAAAAUUCUGAAACAGAAAUUACAGAACUCAUCUACAUUGCUACCUCGAUUAAAAUAUAACAUAGCAUUGCCUUCAUCUCCAUCUCCUUAUCCUAGAAGACUCCCUGCUGUCCUUGCUUAUAUUCCGUUCCUCUUCUGUAUGUGCUAAAAUCACUUUGUUAAUCCUGUUUUUGAGGUCAAGUGCACUACCAUGAACACCCGCAAGUGUGUUUUGAGUAUAUGAUCAUAUAUGUUUGUGGGGAUACCGUAUACGUAUUAAGUCAUUCUGACAGCCCUGUGUUACCAUCUUGAAAUUUAGCUUAAAACUCACUAUGCUCAUUCACAGACAAAAACAAUUUCUAGCAAAGACUUACCAACAAAAGUGUCAUAAUUUGUUAUUGAUAAGAAAGUAUGUAUGUGUGUGUGUGUGUAUAUAUAUAUUUGUAAUGUUUGAGCCUCAUGAACUUAUAAAGCGAUUAUUUAGCGUUUUUCUUAUAACAUGUCAAACCAUGUUCGAAAUGUAGUAGCUUCUAGUCUGGUUUGUGAGAUAUAUUCAUUUCGUACAUAUACAUACAUACAUUUACAUCUGAACAUUCACAAAUAUACAUCCGAAUGUCAGCAAGUUAAUUAGAUGCACUUUAGAUAUGCAUGUCUCUCUUUUUUCUGAUAUACGGAAGUAUAGUUUAUGGUGUGCCUUGUUUUUCCGUCGUGUAGAGGAGGUGGUGUUAUACCUGCAAUUCUUGAGUAGGCAGUUGAGCUCUCUAGAUUAUUCGUUUGAUUUCUAGAACUUAAGGUAGAUUUUUCAGUGCCGGAGGACCGUAUAGCUUACCAAAGCCGUAUGUGUAUCUGCAAUGGAUGAGAAAGGUGAAAUGUUAAUCAGGGACUGGAGGUUGCUUGAUUUUGAUUUGUAUUUAAUAGUAAAUUUCUGAAAGGAAAGAAUCAAAUUACUAACUUACCCAAGAACUAAGAAAACAAAAGCAGUGAUCCCUAGCACAUACUGAUAGAACUUGUGCCUAGAUUUACGUCUUCCCUCGUAGGUUGAUGGAAGGUGCCUGCUGCUUAUAUAACCAUACUGUGGACGAACUAGAAUAACAAAGCCAAGGAAAAAUCCUGCAAGGAAUCCUCCUAUAUGAGCUGAACUGUCCACUUUAGGUAUAAACCCAACAGCCAUAUUCACGGCAAUGACAACCAUGAGUAUCAGGAGCGCUGUGCACUGAAUAGCAAAGUUAGAUCUUAGACGUAUCCCUCAUCGAUUUGAGCCUCAGCAUUAAAAGCUGUUGUAUUUUAGAUGCCGGCAUAGCUGGGGUUCUUUAAAAGAAAAGAAAGGUUACCUUAUUCACGUAGAUUGUCCAGUUUAUUAGAAGCUCGGAAAGCAUGGCUCCCAGCAAUCCAAAAAGUGCUCCAGAUGCACCAACUGAGAUAGUUGGGCUUGCGGUUCUCAUGCGAUGUAGAGUCGAUCCUAAACUUCCUCCUAUUCCAGCAAGCAGAUACAGGAACCCUAUUCUGACUGCCAAAUCAAAACAGUUAAGAAUAGUUAGCAUGCAUUAAUCAUGUAAAAACCGAGUUGACAUCUCCUGAAUCUUAAGUUCUUACUAAAUCCGAAUUCCUGCUCAAGCCUUAUUCCUAUGAAUAGAAGGCUCAGCAUAUUGAAGAGCAAGUGAACGACUCCAGCAUGAAGCCACAUGCAAGACAAGAGGCGCCAUCCUUCGCCCCCUUCCACCACUAAUUGCAGUUCAAGGGCUCCUAGUUUCUUUAGACUGCAAACAUUAGCAAUUAGAUUAGGUUUUAACAUGACCGUUCAAGAAGUUAUAGCUUAACGUAUGCCUAGUUCAGUUAAGAAUGAUUUCCAAGUUGGCACAGCAAUCGGACACAUUUCCUUGUUUGACUUUGGGGUCCGAAAGACACUGCCUCCUGCAUUUUGGGGUAGCAUAGAUUCAUAGGAAGGGACAUUGUUGCUAAGACCUAGAGCAUUUUGGGGUAGCGUAGAUUCAUAGGAAGGGACAUUGUUGCUAAGACCUAGAGGACGGGAGAAUGCGACUACCCUGGAAUCUUAUGUUGGCUAUGGCGCUCGAUAGAUUAGGGUACUUAAGCAAGACAUAAGAAUCCGAAUAUCAAUUGGUGCUUAAGCAAGAGGUAAGAGCAAGUAUGCUAUACAGAACAAAACAUAGUAUUGAAGGUAUCUUCUUUGUUCAAAUUAAUCAUGUUUUAGUCUUAAUCGAAUUCUGUAAUUAGUUCUUGUUUCUGUAAUCCAAAACUAUCUCAAUUGCAGAAGAUUAGACGCAGGAGUUGAAUUAGUUUUAUGCAAGAAAACAAAAUAAAAAAUAAGAGACAAAAAGUAGAAAUCAUUGGGAGAGGUAGGAGGAGAUUCUUACGUAAGUGCGGCAGGACCAAGAAGAGGGUUUUCUCUGAAGGGUUGGAAAGAGAACCUCUUAAAGAAAGGAAAAAGACACUUUUCCCCUGUAGUUGGACAGUCAUUGACGUACAUCGUGUACACGAACAUGGCAACAUUGACGACAAACACGAUUGGCAUGAGCCACGGCACCCAUGGCUUAGGAGGAGGGGGGCACAAAUGGGGCGGGGGCAUGGAAUGCCGAGACUUUUGUCUCUUUUCGCGCCCCUUCUCCAUGUCUUCGGAGGAUGGCGGUCUCUCCCCCAUUUUUUCCGGCCACGGGGGGUGGUAGAGGAAGAGGAAGAGGAAGAGGUAGAGGCGCACACUGCACCGGCGCUUUUGGCAGAUGCUAAUGUGCACCACCAAGUUACAGGGAGGACUAAAAUGAGAGAUAUUGGCACUGGGUGGCAAGGAACGAGUUUGGCUAGGUUGGUAGUUAAGUUUGGUACUCUCCUUGAUUAUAGAUAUCUGGAAAUUACUUUAUGGCCCUGCUAUGUUAUGACCUCUAUUCUUUAACAAAAAAACAAACAGACAGAAAAAUAAAAAUUCAUUUUUUGCCAAAAAUAAAUAAGAUUGGUACUGUAUAAAAGGUUCAACUUAAUAACCAAUUCAAUGUUGAAAGUUGCUUUAGUUUAGUUUGCUAAUUAAGAAAAUAAACAUAGUUCGAGUUGGAAUUAGGACAUAUUAGUAACGAUCAAGACACGUAGGGAUAUAAUUAGGCAAUAACAUUAGGGGCUAUGAGUACUUUGGGGGCUCAACAGAAAUAAGUUAUCCCAUUGCAGAUUCCCUUGUUACAUUUAGAAACUGUGGUAGAAACACCAGCCUGUAGUAGUUUUGUAUUUGUUACAGGACUCAGCUAAUCAGCCAUUGCUUCUACACAGUGUUUAAAAUAUCGGUAUUAGUGGAAAUGUUGAACGCAAAUUUGUGGAAAUAUUGAUGCAUAAUCGAAUAUCAAUAUCGAUAUUGGUUGCUUUUAAUUGAAAUGAUGAAAUAUUAAAAUGAAACUUUAGCUACUGUCAAACAUUGGUUUUGACGAAAUAUACGAGUUUCUUCGAUAUUUAACAUAUAUGUAAGAAAUAUCCACGAUAUAUGUCGAUUUAGCCUAAACUUAAAAGAGUUUCUCCGAUAUGAGGUGAAGUUUAGGCUUCACCUCCAUUUCCAUAUCUUUCUCUAUUUUUUUCGAAUCCUUAUGAAAAUGAAUCUAGAACGAAAUCACGCUAAAACUAGGGCUUCACCCGUAAGUGGCGCGCUGUGUGGCCCGAGCAUAGUGAUAAGUGAGCAAGGGUCGUUGUAUCUCCAUCGACACCCGGAUGCAGUGUUAAAUGAGCAAGGGGGGCAUAGAAACUUCUUUUCG
This 28673-nucleotide long non-coding RNA is filed under the name Malus domestica (apple). RNAcentral's name for it is "long non-coding RNA (MDOM_LNC018189)". The record is from RNAcentral. Lineage: Eukaryota; Viridiplantae; Streptophyta; Magnoliopsida; Rosales; Rosaceae.